This 210-nucleotide long non-coding RNA is filed under the name Elaeis guineensis (African oil palm). RNAcentral describes it as "long non-coding RNA (EGUI_LNC081093)". The record is from RNAcentral. Lineage: Eukaryota; Viridiplantae; Streptophyta; Magnoliopsida; Arecales; Arecaceae.
UGCUUUUCUUUCUCAAGGACCUCUUGGAGGUUGGCUAGCUCGGUAGCCUUUUCUUUGAGGCGGGCGGCUUCGGCCCGGCGACCCUCCUCCGCCUAGAUGGCGUCCCUCCUCGCCCGAUUCAUCACCUCGAUGUUGGCAAGGAGCUGAUGCCCGAUCUACAAGGGCGGCUAGGAGGUCAGAACGAAAGUUGAGAAGCUAAUUGAAUGAAGG